GCCGCCCCCCCCGAGAGUUUGAUCCUGGCUCAGAUUGAACGCUGGCGGCAUGCCUUACACAUGCAAGUCGAACGGUAGAGUAGCAAUACUCGAGAGUGGCGAACGGGUGAGUAAUAUAUCGGAACGUGCCCAGUCGUGGGGGAUAACGUAGAGAAAUUUACCGCUAAUACCGCAUACGAUCUACCGGAUGAAAGCGGGGGAUCGCCAAGACCUCGCGCGAUUGGAGCGGCUGAUAUCAGAUUAGGUUGUUGAUGAGGUAAAAGCUCACCAAGCCGACGAUCUGUAGCUGGUUUGAGAGAACGACCAGCCACACUGGGACUGAGACACGGCCCAGACUCCUACGGGAGGCAGCAGUGGGGAAUUUUGGACAAUGGGCGAAAGCCUGAUCCAGCAAUGCCGCGUGCAGGAAGAAGGCCUUCGGGUUGUAAACUGCUUUUGUACGGAACGAAACGGUCCUUUCUAAUAAAGAGGGCUAAUGACGGUACCGUAAGAAUAAGCACCGGCUAACUACGUGCCAGCAGCCGCGGUAAUACGUAGGGUGCGAGCGUUAAUCGGAAUUACUGGGCGUAAAGCGUGCGCAGGCGGUUCUAUAAGACAGAUGUGAAAUCCCCGGGCUCAACUUGGGAAUGGCAUUUGUGACUGUAGAGCUAGAGUACGGUAGAGGGGGAUGGAAUUCCGCGUGUAGCCAGUGAAAUGCGUAGAUAUGCGGAGGAACACCGAUGGCGAAGGCAAUCCCCUGGACCUGUACUGACGCUCAUGCACGAAAGCGUGGGGAGCAAACAGGAUUUAGAUACCCUGGUAGUCCACGCCCUAAACGAUGUCAACUGGUUGUUGGGUGCAUUAGUACUCAGUAACGAAGCUAACGCGUGAAGUUGACCGCCUGGGGAGUAGGCCGCAAGGUUGAAUUCUUUAGGAAAGAGG
Molecule: ribosomal RNA, 921 nt
Filed under: uncultured bacterium
Lineage: Bacteria
Description: bacterial SSU rRNA
Rfam family: Bacterial small subunit ribosomal RNA
Source: RNAcentral